UUAGCGGCGGACGGGUGAGUAACACGUGGAUAACCUACCUAUAAGACUGGGAUAACUUCGGGAAACCGGAGCUAAUACCGGAUAAUAUUUUGAACCGCAUGGUUCAAAAGUGAAAGACGGUCUUGCUGUCACUUAUAGAUGGAUCCGCGCUGCAUUAGCUAGUUGGUAAGGUAACGGCUUACCAAGGCAACGAUGCAUAGCCGACCUGAGAGGGUGAUCGGCCACACUGGAACUGAGACACGGUCCAGACUCCUACGGGAGGCAGCAGUAGGGAAUCUUCCGCAAUGGGCGAAAGCCUGACGGAGCAACGCCGCGUGAGUGAUGAAGGUCUUCGGAUCGUAAAACUCUGUUAUUAGGGAAGAACAUAUGUGUAAGUAACUGUGCACAUCUUGACGGUACCUAAUCAGAAAGCCACGGCUAACUACGUGCCAGCAGCCGCGGUAAUACGUAGGUGGCAAGCGUUAUCCGGAAUUAUUGGGCGUAAAGCGCGCGUAGGCGGUUUUUUAAGUCUGAUGUGAAAGCCCACGGCUCAACCGUGGAGGGUCAUUGGAAACUGGAAAACUUGAGUGCAGAAGAGGAAAGUGGAAUUCCAUGUGUAGCGGUGAAAUGCGCAGAGAUAUGGAGGAACACCAGUGGCGAAGGCGACUUUCUGGUCUGUAACUGACGCUGAUGUGCGAAAGCGUGGGGAUCAAACAGGAUUAGAUACCCUGGUAGUCCACGCCGUAAACGAUGAGUGCUAAGUGUUAGGGGGUUUCCGCCCCUUAGUGCUGCAGCUAACGCAUUAAGCACUCCGCCUGGGGAGUACGACCGCAAGGUUGAAACUCAAAGGAAUUGACGGGGACCCGCACAAGCGGUGGAGCAUGUGGUUUAAUUCGAAGCAACGCGAAGAACCUUACCAAAUCUUGACAUCCUUUGACAACUCUAGAGA
RNAcentral lists this ribosomal RNA (928 nucleotides) under Staphylococcus aureus. Its description in RNAcentral is "bacterial SSU rRNA". It matches the Rfam family "Bacterial small subunit ribosomal RNA", at positions 92 to 1006 of the family's 1533-position model. Lineage: Bacteria; Bacillati; Bacillota; Bacilli; Caryophanales; Staphylococcaceae. The record is from RNAcentral.